GAUAAACGCUGGCGGCGUGCUUAACACAUGCAAGUCGAACGGAAAGGCCCAAGCUUGCUUGGGUACUCGAGUGGCGAACGGGUGAGUAACACGUGGGUGAUCUGCCCUGCACUUCGGGAUAAGCCUGGGAAACUGGGUCUAAUACCGGAUAGGACGAUGGUUUGGAUGCCAUUGUGGAAAGUUUUUUCGGUGUGGGAUGAGCUCGCGGCCUAUCAGCUUGUUGGUGGGGUAAUGGCCUACCAAGGCGUCGACGGGUAGCCGGCCUGAGAGGGUGUACGGCCACAUUGGGACUGAGAUACGGCCCAGACUCCUACGGGAGGCAGCAGUGGGGAAUAUUGCACAAUGGGCGCCAGCCUGAUGCAGCGACGCCGCGUGGGGGAUGACGGCCUUCGGGUUGUAAACUCCUUUCGCUAGGGACGAAGCGUUUUUGUGACGGUACCUGGAGAAGAAGCACCGGCUAACUACGUG
Molecule: ribosomal RNA, 468 nt
Filed under: uncultured bacterium
Lineage: Bacteria
Description: partial 16S ribosomal RNA
Rfam family: Bacterial small subunit ribosomal RNA
Source: RNAcentral